AGAACUCAAAAAGAUAGACUCCAGAGAACCAAAUAACCCCAAAAAAAUUGGGGUACAGAGCAAAACAAAGCAUCCUCAGCUGAGAAAUAUCGAAAGCAGAAAAGCACCUAAAGAAAUGUUCAACAUCCUUAGUCAUCAGGGAAAUGCAAAUCAAAAGAACCCUGAGAUUCCACCUCACACCAGUGAGAAUGGCUAAGAUAAAAAACUCAGGUGACAGCAGAUGCUGGCGAGGAUGUGGAGAAAGAGGAACACUCGUCCAUUGUUGGUGGGAUUGCAGACUGGUACAACCAUUCUGGAAAUCAGUCUGGAGGUUCCUCAGAAAGUUGGACACUCCACUAUCUGAGGACCCAGCUAUAUGACUCCUGGGCAUAUACCCAAAAUAUGCUUCCACAUACAACAAAGACACGUGCUCCAUUAUGUUCAUAGCAACCUUAUUUAUAACAGCCAGAACCUGGAAAGAAC
RNAcentral lists this long non-coding RNA (462 nucleotides) under Rattus norvegicus (Norway rat). Its description in RNAcentral is "long non-coding RNA NONRATT025239". Lineage: Eukaryota; Metazoa; Chordata; Mammalia; Rodentia; Muridae. The record is from RNAcentral.